RNAcentral lists this small RNA (83 nucleotides) under Marmota monax (woodchuck). Lineage: Eukaryota; Metazoa; Chordata; Mammalia; Rodentia; Sciuridae. The record is from RNAcentral.
GCUGGGUGCAGUGGAGAAUGCCUGUAAUCCCAGCAACCUGGGAGGCUGAGGCAGGAGGAUUGCAGGUUCAAAGCCAGCCUCAG